Molecule: non-coding RNA, 471 nt
Organism: Paramuricea clavata
Lineage: Eukaryota; Metazoa; Cnidaria; Anthozoa; Malacalcyonacea; Plexauridae
Source: the annotation of a GenBank genome assembly
CAGGCCUGCAUAAUAUAGCGGACCGCGGGACCAUUGGUCCCAGAAAAUUUUUGAGGUUGGCAGAAAAAAAUGGAGGGUAAAACUUAAAAGUCUCAAAAGAAAAAAAGUAAAGAGAAAGAAAGAAAGGAAGAAAAUAAGAAAAAAUGACAUAAUUGAAUAAUAAGCUGUAGGUAGUGAACUAGUGAUGUUUGCAACAUGCAAGUAAUACAAGUUUCCAAUAUACCGGUACAAGCGCCACUCCAGCAGCCUGAUAUUAUGAUCAAAGACAGGCAGACAGCAGUCUAGCAGAUAUUAAGAUGAAAUUCUCUAUGCGGUUAUAAUUGAUUUCAUCUAGUGUAUUAGCUACUUCUGAAAAUACCACUCCAGUUAUAUAUGAAUACAACUCAUUUAACAACUACAGUAUGUGGAUUAAAAAGUCUAUGAGUGUGGUGAUUUCUUACAAUGUAGUAAAAAAUCUAAGCAAUAUGGUCC